GUGGGGAAUCUUGGGCAAUGGGCGAAAGCCUGACCCAGCGACGCCGCGUGGGGGAGGAAGUCCCUCGGGACGUAAACCCUACAAGUGAGGGACGAAUAAGUGAGGGCAAAUACCCCUGAUGAUGACGGUACCUCAUGUAAGCCCCGGCUAACUACGUGCCAGCAGCCGCGGUAAUACGUAGGGGGCUAGCGUUGUCCGGAAUUACUGGGCGUAAAGCGCGCGUAGGCGGCUAGGCAAGUCGGUUGUGGAAGCCCCAAGCUCAACUUGGGAAUUGCGACCGAAACUGUUUGGCUUGAGCACGGUAGGGGGUGCUGGAAUUCCUGGUGUAGCGGUGAAAUGCAUAGAUAUCAGGAGGAACACCGGUGGCGAAGGCGGGCACCUGGGCCGUUGCUGACGCUGAGGCGCGAAAGCUAGGGGAGCAAACCGGAUUAGAUACCCUAGUAGUCC
This 447-nucleotide ribosomal RNA is filed under the name uncultured bacterium. Its description in RNAcentral is "bacterial SSU rRNA". It matches the Rfam family "Bacterial small subunit ribosomal RNA", at positions 354 to 796 of the family's 1533-position model. The record is from RNAcentral.